GUAGCUCUCCCAGUUCCUGACACAUGUCAUAGAAAAGCAUCUGGCCAAAGAUGCCAUUCUUCAAUUCAGAGGGAAGACUUUCUGGAGCUUCAUGGCUUAACAGUUAACCGAGUAUCCUUGUAACAGCUAAGUACCCUUAGCUUAACAAAUAAAAAAACUGAAACGCAUUUGGAAAGACAAAGGCUACGUAGCAGGAGUCAGCUUUCUAGAUUAAUAUUACAACAACAUAAACAACAAUCAACAUUGAUUGGGCACUAGGUUCUGUGCUGGGUUUGUUCCUAUGUCAUUUCAUUCAAUCCUCACAGGAGUCCAAGGAGAUGCACUAUUAUUUUCUUCAUGUCACAGAUGAGGAAAUGAGAAUGAAGAUGUCGAGUGACUAUUCCAAAGGCAUAGUAAGGAGUACCCAGCCUUUGAACCCUCCUUUCUGAAUGGAAGUGUCCCUCUAAUCAUCCUUGCUAAACAUUAUAGCUUCAAAAUUAAAGAAUGGCCAAACUUGGCCAUAAAGGAGUAGGAGUAAAUAAAGAUGAUGACUGGAGCUAAAAUAUAGUCACUUAUCUCUGAAAUAAUGGUCACAGUGAGGAAGAAAUUCAAAAUCCGUACUUUAACUUUUGUUGUUGUUGCGUUUAGUCUCUAUCAAGGUUAAAAUUAUAGCAUUUAAAAUGCCAGUGUUAAGAGAAAAAAAAAGGAAAAUGCUGUGUGAAGUUAGCAAGAGAAAGAGGACCAUUAAAACAGCAGGAAUGAAUAAAACUCAGAAAGCAUGAAACAAGAUGAGAUCAGUCAGCUCAAGCUUCCUAGUCAUGACUGCAGGGAGAGGCCAAGCUCUAUUUUCCCCAUUUAACUGUAAAUCCAGACAAAGUGACAGAGAAAGGUUAGAAGUAAAAGGUAGAGCAAGAGGUUACCUUAAAAAUACAAAUAAAAGAAGGCCAAGGACAUGUUAUCAUUAAUAUCGUAUAUUGUGGAAAUCAAAGGAAAAACAAAGCAUUAAGCAGAGGACAAUUUUUAAGUGAAGGUUAGAGUCUCCAGUGAAGAUGACAGGGGGGCCC
Molecule: long non-coding RNA, 1043 nt
Filed under: Homo sapiens (human)
Lineage: Eukaryota; Metazoa; Chordata; Mammalia; Primates; Hominidae
Description: HSALNT0043441
Source: RNAcentral